Molecule: long non-coding RNA, 953 nt
Organism: Drosophila pseudoobscura
Lineage: Eukaryota; Metazoa; Arthropoda; Insecta; Diptera; Drosophilidae
Exons: 2
Source: RefSeq, a predicted model, not a curated record
UUAGUGGCUGUAUUAAAUCGUGAAACAAAUGCCAAGCUGUUGCAUGCGAAGAUAUCGAUAGGGAGGAAAGAUGUUUGAACAGAGUGGCAAGGCCAAAAUUUAAGGGGAAAAGUUAGCGAAGAGUGGCGCCACCUGGUCCUGGAGAGUGAGAGUUCCGCGCGCUCUCCGGAGCCGUUAUGAGAGAGGAUUUCCGAUCUCAUCCCAUAACGGAGUCCCGAAGCCAACUCACCCACACCCCACAGAAAGAGAGCCGCCAGCAGCCCGAAUCAGGCCAUGACCUUGAACCUAGUUCAAGGGCGAUAGAAAAGAGAGCGAUGGGGGAUCAGCGGCCCGGGAGCAUUAAACAGAGCAGCUAAGCCAAGAGGGGGUUCAGAGAAAGAAAUUCCCGCAACGGAGGAGCAUGCGCGCUGGUCAUAGUGAUCUAGUGAUAUUUUUAGUUUGAAAGAAAAAGGGAUCAAGAUCAGUGAAACACCAGGAAUUCUAGAGCUGACCAGCGGGACGGAAAGUAGACCCAAAAAGCACAAGAGUGAGUCCGCUCCAAAGGGGGAGUAAAGAAACCCCAAAUUUAUUAUUUUUGUUGGCAAAUCCAUAGGGAAUAGGCCACAGCUCCGCCAUCCUGGCUUGGUUUUGCUGGUCUCGAAGGAACUCUUCUGGCCACGUAGUGCGGGUUCCCUCGCUCAUUUAGGGAGAAAAAAAAGCACCAAUUAACUUAUUUACUCCCAUUAUUUAUUUUUGUUAGAUGUCUCCAUUUAUAUGUAUAUGUUAAUCCCCUAAUUUAAGUCCGCCCAUAUUAUAUCUAUAUGUAAUUUAUUUAUAUUUAUUAUAUUAAGAUUAAGACGAGGGGGGAAUGAAUAGGCAGGCUUAGUGUAGCGAUGAUAACGUGUAAAAGCAGGAAAUUGAAGUGAGAAUUAUAACGAAGGAAAUGAAUUGCUAAGCGUUUCAUAUGGGGGGAA